AGAUUGAACGCUGGCGGCAUGCCUUACACGUGCAAGUCGAACGGCAGCAAGGGUGCUUGCACCUGGUGGCAGAGUGGCGAACGGGUGAGUAAUACAUCGGAACAUGUCCUGUAGUGGGGGAUAGCCCGGCGAAAGCCGGAUUAAUACCGCAUACGAUCUACGGAUGAAAGCGGGGGACCUUCGGGCCUCGCGCUAUAGGGUUGGCCGAUGGCUGAUUAGCUAGUUGGUGGGGUAAAGGCCUACCAAGGCGACGAUCAGUAGCUGGUCUGAGAGGACGACCAGCCACACUGGGUGACACGGCCCAGACUCCUACGGGAGGCAGCAGUGGGGAAUUUUGGACAAUGGGCGAAAGCCUGAUCCAGCAAUGCCGCGUGUGUGAAGAAGGCCUUCGGGUUGUAAAGCACUUUUGUCCGGAAAGAAAUCCUUGGCUCUAAUACAGUCGGGGGAUGACGGUACCGGAAGAAUAAGCACCGGCUAACUACGUGCCAGCAGCCGCGGUAAUACGUAGGGUGCGAGCGUUAAUCGGAAUUACUGGGCGUAAAGCGUGCGCAGGCGGUUUGCUAAGACCGAUGUGAAAUCCCCGGGCUCAACCUGGGAACUGCAUUGGUGACUGGCAGGCUAGAGUAUGGCAGAGGGGGGUAGAAUUCCACGUGUAGCAGUGAAAUGCGUAGAGAUGUGGAGGAAUACCGAUGGCGAAGGCGGCCCCCUGGGCCAAUACUGACGCUCAUGUGCCGAAGCGUGGGAGGCAAAGGAUA
This 755-nucleotide ribosomal RNA is filed under the name Paraburkholderia kururiensis. RNAcentral's name for it is "bacterial SSU rRNA". It matches the Rfam family "Bacterial small subunit ribosomal RNA", at positions 26 to 777 of the family's 1533-position model. Lineage: Bacteria; Pseudomonadati; Pseudomonadota; Betaproteobacteria; Burkholderiales; Burkholderiaceae. The record is from RNAcentral.